Non-coding RNA from Cyanistes caeruleus (blue tit), 9350 nucleotides. The record is from RefSeq and is a predicted model, not a curated record. NCBI's taxonomy places the organism in Eukaryota, Metazoa, Chordata, Aves, Passeriformes, Paridae.
CUGAGGCAGCACCGGAGCGUGUAGCCAGCUCCCCCCGCAGCCAGGCUCAUGGUUCGGGAACCCGCGGGUGCAGCUGAGGACUCGUAAAUUCUCCAACCCUCGUGCCCGGGGCCGCUGCAGCACCGGAGCCCGAGGACACCGCGGUGCUGUCCUCGUGCACCAGGGACCGCCUUCCCUGUUCCGUGGGAUCCAUCUCUGGCUGUCCAGCUUGGGGCAGGACAUUUACCCGCAACUGGGUGUGUGGGAAGCCAGCGCUGCUUGUCCUAGCGCACACAUUUGGGAAACCGCUGUAAUCCCAGCGUUGUGCAGUUGCCCACAUCCUCCAGCGCUGGAUCCUGCGGGAGAUCCUGAGGUCCUUGCUGGCUUUUGUGGGGUAUCCACCUUUCCCCAGUCGGACAUGGGAGCCACACGUUACGGAUAUGCACAUGCCAGUCCCCUGCACUGCUGGCACAGCAUCUUUGCACACACAUCCCAUGUAGUCUGUCUGCGCAACACCUUCCUCUCGUCCGUGGGACGGCUUCCCCUUAUUUUGUGACUUUUUGGAGCAUUGUGCAUGCUCCCAUGGGAUAAAGUGUGGGUCUCCUCUCCUCUCACGCUAGUGCUGCCACCGUAAGAUUUUCACUCUUGCACACAGGUUUCCAGAAGAGGUACGUGGGGUGCUUGCCUCCAUCCCUCUCUGUGCUCCCGACCCUCUCUGUGUGGGGAACAAGCACCAGCUGUGGGAACUCUUCUCCCCAGAUGUGCAGCCCCUGAAGCUGUGUGCUGAGUGGGUAGCUAGGGCACCUCUUGGGCUCUGUGCCAGUGAACCAGACACAGCUUUUCCCACCGCACUUCUGCUGCCAGUGACUGAUGGGUGAAAUGAACAGAGAGGGAUGAGGGGGAACGCUGGACAACAGGAUAUGCCGUCUGCUUGCUACCCUUGCCUGCCUUGCCAAAGAUACUGGUGUGGGGUCUUCCCUCUCUGCUGAAAAGGUGCAUUGGGACAGGGGGCUUGGAUUGGCCUCAUUUCCAUAUGUGAUUAUCAGAGCAGAAAUGAAGCUCUGAGGAGCUGGAGAGGAGCUUCAGCUCUAGCAGGUGAUGCCUGUGAAAUUGUAUAUUGUCUGUCAGUGCAUUUGUCCUUCCAACCACCCUGGGCCAUUUGCAUUCCUGUCCUUGGCUUUGUUUUAAUGACCUUUGCUCUCACAAGCAAAAUGGUCUCAAACCCGCCAGAUUCAGAUUCAGGUGUCAGUAAUUCUUCCUGGCGUGUAACUGAGGUUUUUGCGGCACACUUCGCUGCUUUCUGCAGUGGAAGCACCAAGACAGGCACAGAUUAGAUGUACAGGGCUGCCACAGAUGCUCUGAGAGCCAGUCCAAGGGGACUGGGCUCUGUGACAAGUUCAGAAGUAGCAGCAGCUCUGACCGAGUUACAGAAGGAAAUGCCAAGGAAUUUGAGCUCUAUCCAGAAAGGCUGACAGAUAUCCUGCUGAGGAAAGCUGAUAACCUUGUCACCCUUCUGCUCUUGCCUCUCAGUCUUCAUUUUUAUCCCAUUAGAGGGGAACUGGCUUAUAGUUGUUCCCAUAUUAUGUUCUUGCCAGGUUCUGCUUUGGUAGAAAUGGUUAUGAAUGAAGAAAGGAGGAUUAUUUUCCUUCUUAAAUCUUGCUUUCUAUCCAUGCCAGCUGCCUGUUCUUCCUCUGCUCUUGUAAAAACACCCACAGGUUUUUCUGGGAGUGUCUGUGUCCCUUCUCUUCAGUAAGAGAGACAGAUGGAGCUGAGAGGUGUGUCCUCCACUGCAUUCAGAAACAGUUCCCAAAGCAGUGUCUGACGCCCAUCCCCUCCUGACCUCGGACAGCAUCUCAUCGGUACCAUUUCCUUGCAGCAUUCCAUGACCACUCCUGUCUGCUUCUGGAUGCUUUUUGCUGGUUGCUUCCCAUUCAGCUGAGCAAGCUCAGCUCCAUCUCCUGAGCACCCAGCACCCUUGUUCCAGGAGGGCCACCCUGCAGGAUGGGACCCUUUGCACUAAGUAUGUGCUUUGUUUGUAAAGCAACUGCACAGUCUUUUAAAAGCCUUUUAAAGAAGCCACAUCUAUGGUGUCACACUAAGGAGCAAAGUGCCACCAGUGACAGCUCAUGUUAGCAUUUGUUCUGCAGAGAACAUGGAAGGCAAAAACAGCUUUUUUUUUAGGUAAAUGGUGCCCUAGGGCAGUAAUGGCUGCAGGGGUGAGGUAGGUGACAUCUCUGUGGCAUUUGCCAGAUGGUGGCCCUUUGAGGAUAUCAGCUGGUGGUGCAGCGUGUGGCAGCUGGAAUCCAGCCAGACCCCUGCAUCACUUUUUCCUUCUUUUUUUUUAACCCCUCCCCUCUUCCCCUCUUGCAAAAACAAAGCCUGCAUGAGGUCCAGCCUGAUCUUUUCCUCCUCUCUCUGCUGCAAGUUCCAUGUUUCAGCCAGCACUGCCAGUGGCCAGCAUGGGCUGCUGGAGGGAAGUUAGCAAUAGCCAGUUCCCAGCAGGCAGAGUUCCUGCACAUGAUUUUGCAUUAGUCAGAGCCUUGUUUCUCCUGCUGCAGCACAAGCCUUUUCUGGAAAGGUUUUUCUUUACCAGGAGGGGCAUGAAUACAAUGUGAGAGGAAACACACUGACCAUUUUUGCUCAGAAGCCCAGUAGUAAGCAUUUCCCCAUGUUUUUACAUUUCUGGGAAAUACUAAUUUGUGUCUUUCAGAGAGAAGCAGAAUCCUUUUGGAAGGGGCAAAGGGAAGGGAAGAAAUCAGGCUCCCAUGUAAUGGAUAGUGUUUUACGAGUGCUGCUGGCCAUCUGUGCAUUGGCCAUUGCUGCUGGAGGAUCCAGGACAACAGCUUGAAGCACCACAUUCUGAUUUCACUGGGAAAGGUCCAGCAGAAGCCAUGUCAGAAACUGACAACAGAAGCCACGUGCUAAAAAUAAUUACAGCAGGACCUAUCUGCAUGGAAACUCCACAGAAUUUAGAAACUGCAGCAUUUCUUUCCAUCCAAACUACUUUAAAUUUGAACUCUGGAAGGAAACAGAGAAAAAGGAGUGUAUCACUGCGUAACACCAUGCUGCACCCACAUCCUGACGGUCAUAUGGCUGAAGCUGUAUGAUUAUAUGGUUCAUAUGAUAGUGGGAAGUUUAUAACACAACUACAAAACUGCUGUUUUGUAGGAGCACUGCUACAGCAGCAGUUUCUACUUACAGGUACUCAUAGGUCUGGGAUCACUCCUGCAGAUCUGCCUGGCACUGGCCAGCUGCCCUCGUAGCUAUUUCUAGAUGUCCCUCCACUUCUUCCUACUUUUCUGUGCAAUGCCAAACUCUUAAUUUCUUGGGUUUGGUAGAAACAGUCUGGAGAAGGAUCAUGGCUGGAUUUCUGGGCAUGGCUGCAGUUGUUCUUUGUGGGUGUGUUCUGGCAGCCAUCAACUUCUUUUGGGAGCAAAUCCUCAUCCAGCAUGUUGCAGGUCUGCUCUUCCUGACUGUGGUAUUUCUUCUGCUGCUCUUCUAGGCCGCUCUAAGAUCUCAAGAACUCCCAUCAGGCUUUGGCCUUUGGUAAUGAGUUGGACAGUGUCCCACAGACCACAUCAGGAGCUCUUGCCUGGCAAAGGUAGAGCUGCACUGACUGUACUAGGAACUCCCUGUUGCCUGACAAGGUAUACAUCAUUCUCAGUUGUUCAUCCACUUGGCAAGUUUUUCUGUCUUCCACACUGUGCCCUUGGAAUAACAUUACCAAGUGAGGAAAAACAUUCUUUUUGCUAGAAGUAAGUCUCUUCUCUUCACAUGAAAAAGCUAAAGCAUACCCAGUAGACACAUGCAAGUGUUGCAAAGAAAUAACACAGAAAAGUUUAUUUUCCACUCCAGGAGAUCUCAAUAACAACAAUCUCAGACUCACCAGAAGUAAACUUUAAAGUAAUGCUGCAAAACACAUGGGAAAACAUACAUCCAGCUCUUAAAAAGAGCAGGGAACUUCUUCAGGCAAGAUGUGCUUCUAAGAAUAUUGCUGAAGGUGAAAAUCCAUUUACAUUUAAUAUUACUAUAUUUGGUUUUCAGUUUGAUAAAAUAAUUUAGGUUGGGAAAAAAACAUUAAGACGAUCCAGCCCAACCAUUAACCUAACACUGCCAAGUCCACUACUAAAACAUGUUCAUAUGUGCCACAUCUACACAUCUUUUAAACACCCCAGGGUUGGUGACCCAAUCACUUCCCUGAGCAGCCUGCUCCAAUGCUUGACAAACCUUUCAGUGAAGUCUCUCUUUACCAAAGAAACUCCUCUCAAUAACAAGAGGCUUUGACUAAAUAAGGAUUUGGGGACUUUUAUCACAUAACACUAUUUUACAAUACAAAGAUUUGAAAGACUUUUAGGCAUCUUCCACCUCUCCUAAAAAUGAAAGAGAGAAAAGCAGUACCUUAGGACACCCAAAGAAAGUGAGGUGAGCUAACAAAUGGCACAUGAUUUGUUCCAGUCAGUGGGGUUCCACUGGAUCACUGCCAUACUGCUUUUCAAAUGUAUCAGGAUUUAUGUCAUGAUGGUUAGGUGUGGAGAACUCAACACCACUGGCACUUCAGAUGCCAGCAGCAAAUAAUAAAAGACCUAAGCUUGUCAAGCAUCAUGGCUCUACUCACUAGCCAGUAUCUGCAAAUGGAACUUAAAAUCCCUACCUUCGUAACUUCCUAAAUGGGCCCUAACCUAACUCCCAAACAUUUCUAAUCUGAAGAGUUAUCUUCAUUAGUUUGGAAUAUGGAUCCAGCUUUUUCACCCUUGGAAUUCUUCCAUGGAUCAAAGGCAAUAUAACCUUCAAACCCCAUUUUUUGGGUUGCAUGAGCCUCCCACCAGUUUGCAAAUGAAAAACUUCCUAGGACAGAAAAAACUUCUCAAGUUGAAAAGGCAAUUCUGAAGCUAGCUUAUCCCUUUGGAAACUUUAAAAGGUAUCUCCUUUCUGUGUUCCACUGAUCCUUAAUGGCUUUCAAACUCAGGAAACAGGAAAACUGACCAUUGUUUUCAAUCCACUCUUCUUAGUAUUGGAUUACACUUGGCUUUGAAAGAGGGAGAAGAAAAGAAGACUACCCUGGCUCAGUUCAUGGCAAGUGGAUUGAAGAGUCUUACUGGUGAUGCUCUGAUGGUGAUGAAUUCCCUUCCUCACCUCCAGCUUCCCAAGGAAAUAUUUUGCUUAGGAUGGACCAACAAAGCAAAUAAGACCAGAAAAGGAUGGCCCAAGGGAAGGAUGAUCAGUGCAAGCUGACAAAAGAUUCUCCUGCCAUUCUGUGGGGCUGACUCACCUUCACCAUACCACCACCACAUUCCUGCAUUGGAUGAGUGAGAUCAACAAUUACUGAAGACCAGUGCUAAAGAAGGGGCUUUUCAGCCAAGAAAUUAAAUAAAGGUUUGAAAUGCCCAUUUGAAGCAACCCACUAUUAGCCACUAUUUGAAGCAAACCACUAUUAUUAUUAGCUUGGCUCAACUCUGAGGCAAAAUGACAGUGAGGGCUGAAAGGAAACACCCAAAAGCAGAUAAGGUGUUGAGCUGGAUAGUCCAAUAUACGGUAACAGAAAGGAAAAUUAUUUCUGGUCUGAGAUCCUUUCCACCUAGCGGGGGGCUGGUGAAAGCCUGCUAGUGAAUCUGCAAGGAAGGCCUAUGAUUUUAGACAAGUAGACCUCAGCCAAGAAAGAUUAUUGCUUUAUUUGCCUAGCCAUGCAUUAAGCUUGUCUAAGUCAUCCUUUCCUCUCUCUCCUUUCUGUUAUUCCCAUGCCUUGUAAAGAUAUUUCUGAGUGUGGCCCAUGUAACAAAGUCAUUCCUUGUUAGUUUGCACUGCCACUUGUACAGCUUGCAAGACAAGCCACAACAACCUCCACAGGACAAGUAAAGGAUUCAGACUUUCCCAGCCUGCAUAGGAUCAGACCACAGAGGUGGAGAAUCUUUGGAAUAAAGCAAACCUGAAGCUGAUGAAUGUCACAAACCAUUUACACCAAGUCCCAAGCAUGUGAAAGGUCACACUUAACUCUCCAUUUCCUGGACAACAUCCAGUAGGAGCUGUAUGUCUCUGGGUAUCUUCAGCUUCUUCCCAAUAGAAUAUCCCAAGUCAGAGAAUCAAAGCUUUCUGAAGGCAGUGGCAGUGCUGCAGAAUAAAGGCACGUCUUUACCUGUGACAAUCUGAAAAAUGAGCAGCAGGUAUGCUUUUGUUCACCUUGCAAAGCUGCCUGCCAGCUCUUCCAUGGGUUAUGCAGCCAGGUUCAUGCUCCUGUACUUAUCCUCACAAACAGCACUAUAAAGCCAGCAACCCAAUGCAGACUGGAAAGUGAAAAAUUCAUGAAAGCGUGGUUUACCUUGCAGAUUUUCUGUUAUUAGUGCUAUGAGAGUACGACUCUCCUAACAGUGGGCUGGACAGUUAGAAAUUAAUUGCUGCUUCUGAACAUUUAAUACAUCUUUGCAAGCAAAAUGCAAAAGAAGAGCCAAUCUUCAGAGCACUUAGCACAGAUGUUCAGAUACAUAUGAAUGCCAUGUUAAUUCUUCAUCCCCUUUUUCUCCUCCCAGGGAUCUGGUUACAGCCCAAAUCACUCGACAUCUGUCAGAGCCAGGGUCUCUGGUGUAUCUCCCUGGAGUUACAUCCUGGGAACUGUUCUCUUAACAAUGGUGCUGCACUGCACCCUUGUGAUGAUGAAGGCUGGUCACAUGCCAAGCUGUGCUGGCCAGAGUGUAACCAGCAUGUGAAAGGGCAAGAUUAAGGGUCCUCCAUCCCUCUGGGUGCUCAAAACUGACUGCACAAGGCCCUGAGCAGCCUAGAACAGCUUUGGAGUUAGCCUCACUCCCAGCAGAUGACAGGAUGAAAGAACUCCAGCAGCCCCUUCUCACCUAAACCCCACUGUGAUUCUGUGCCAGCCUUUCCAGAACUAGAGAUGCUUCUUGGAUCAACACUUGUAACAGAACAAUUUUAACUACAAGCAGAAGGACAAAUACCCUACAGCUCUCCUCAAAACAUACAAAAAUAACAGCUUCUGACCAGUGGUAGAGACAGCAAGUAUUUGAUGCAUAUUUGAAAAGCAUGACAUUAAAGUAACUUCCAUUAUCCUAGACACCAAGGCAAAUCAUAUCUUUUAAGUAAGAAAUCAAGGUACAUAUAUUGUUAUUAAUAGGAAAUAAUAUUUCUUACCAUUCAUUCCUGUACAAAAUAAAUAUGCAUACUUCAUCACCCAUGCACAUGCAAAAAACACCUUGCUUUUGUCUGUUGUGAAUUUCCUAUAUAGGACUCAUCUAGAUACAGACUUUGAAGUCCAGAAUGAGGUCAUAAAAUUAUUUCCUUCAACCCAGAUCAUGAAAGAAAACAGAUUCCACCUCUUAAGAGAAACGCAUCUUCGUUUAAAUACUCCUACUACAAAACAUCAGCAGUUCAACACUGAGCUUUAUGAGCUCAAGUAGUACAUUUAAGUUACAAGCAACAUUUUAUCUGGGUUUGCCUUGUCUGUGUUGCCAUCAGACAGAAAAAAACCCAAUCUCUCAUUAUAUGCAUUUUUGUGAUAUUUACAAGUUUACCAUUAUGGUCUAGGAUGAGCAUAAAGCCACCCUCAGGAUAAUCUUAGGUUAAUUAAACCCCAUGAGAACUAUGACACAGAAAGGGAUCACAUAGCCCACAGUUUUAUUUGUUGCCCCACAAAGCUGUUAAAAUGUCUUUCAGAGCCCUCAUCUUUCAGCAAUGGAUCUUAACCAAUGACAACUUCAGUUUAUUUACAUGCAGUUUUUUCAUGUGAAUUUGAUUUUGAAGUAACUGUUUUUGAUACAAACAAGCCUCUAAACUAAAAUAAAGAUUUUGCUUAAAAUAAAAUAGCAGUUCAGGUUUUUUUCCAAUUCAUGGUGAUGUCUGAUAAAAAAUGACAUUGAUUUAUCCUCUUAAGUACAGGUGCAAGCUUGCAGAACUUCCUUUUGCACCUGUGUUUGUAGGUUGUGUGCUAGAAGCCUUUUUAUGGUGCUUCUCUUAGCCUACCUGUGAAUUUCAAGGAAAGGAGAUCUCUUCAUUUCUUCCUUUGUGUCUUUGUGCAGAAGUUGACACUUCUGACCACCCUCAGCCUGAGAGUGCAUUUGUUCUUUGAAUUAGCUCUGCCUCAUGGCAGCUGCUUUGCUCACCUGUCCAGCAAGGUGGGCAAGGCAGAUGCAUCACCUCUGUUUGCUCCCCUAUGCUGGAGCUCCAAAAAGAAAAGUAAUGUUAACUGUAAAAACACAUUCAUUAACACUAGAUUUGCCUAUAUUCUAUUGCAUUUUCCAAAAAAGCUACUAUUAGAAGUCAAUACAAAACAAUUUAAUGUCAUCACAGGAUGCAGCCUAUGGGAUAAUGCACAGGAAAUUAAUGUGUUAAUUUAACUUAAUGUGAACAAGACUAGUGAAAAUAGGAUACAUGACUAAAUCAACAGUAGAGAUAAUUUUGCUUACAGAAAGUUACUUACCACAGGUAAUAAAAAUGUUUGCUUAAAUUACAUUUACCAUAGCUUAAGAAAAUCUUAUCAGAGACACAGUUCCUGUCUCUUGUGGUGUGAAAGCUGUUUUGGGGAGUGGGUGUAAAACCUCCUCAGUGUGUGGAUGGAGAACAUAUUGCACUGUCUGUACAUAACUGUUUUCUGCUGGGGAAAAUCCUCAAUAUUAGAAGAAAAUACUAUGAUAGUGCUUUUACAUUUUUAAUAAUAAUAACAAUAACAAUACUGGAGUAGACUUUUACUUUUCCACAGCUGUUCUACCUUUUUGUAUAUAAAAAGUAAGCAAUCACAAUGUUAUGGAAUAUCACGAAAGAAUAUUUUGUGCCACAUCAUGGGAGUGAGGAAAGAUUUAGAAGAAAAACCUGAAAUUGCCAAGCUGGAUUGGUGCUCCAGUUGCAUUUUUGAGGAGUGUGUGUAGUUGUCAUAUUCUCACUAUGACGAUAUACAAUCCAUCUUUCCCCUCUGAACACCAUCCAGCGCUGUAUCCAAAUGUUUCAAGUAAUUUUCCUUUGGUACUUUGAGGCAAUUUGUUCCGCUGCCACCUGAACCGGGAUAGGGAAAGACACGACCCGUUUGCAGUCACAGGCAGAGGGAUCACAGCAGAAUCUCUUGUCUUUCCCAGUGCUGCAGAUCCAAUUGCAGACUCUUGGUGGAGCAGGAUAUUUACAAGUUGCUUGUCACUGCACGCUCUUAGUUCUGCGUGUGCGUGAGGAACAGCUCACACUGCUGUUGGAAAAGCACAUUUUUUCACUACAACCACUUGUUUCUCUGCCUGUUCUGUGCAUAAAGGAUGGUAAGAGGACAGUGGUACAGGGAGCUCAUGUACCCUUCAUUCCGUUCUCGCCCCCAGCUGAAGAAAGAAAACCGGCAUAUGCAGUAACAUGGCCUAAAAAAUGGCUUAAAUUAGAUAUUCAGAAAAAAA